UUCCAGGUAAAUCCGGUUCACUUUAACACUGAGGCGUGACGACGAGGCACUACGGUGCUGAAGCAACAAAUGCCCUGCUUCCAGGAAAAGCCUCUAAGCAUCAGGUAACAUCAAAUCGUACCCCAAACCGACACAGGUGGUCAGGUAGAGAAUACCAAGGCGCUUGAGAGAACUCGGGUGAAGGAACUAGGCAAAAUGGUGCCGUAACUUCGGGAGAAGGCACGCUGACACGUAGGUGAAGUGAUUUACUCAUGGAGCUGAAGUCAGUCGAAGAUACCAGCUGGCUGCAACUGUUUAUUAAAAACACAGCACUGUGCAAACACGAAAGUGGACGUAUACGGUGUGACGCCUGCCCGGUGCCGGAAGGUUAAUUGAUGGGGUCAGCGCAAGCGAAGCUCCUGAUCGAAGCCCCGGUAAACGGCGGCCGUAACUAUAACGGUCCUAAGGUAGCGAAAUUCCUUGUCGGGUAAGUUCCGACCUGCACGAAUGGCGUAAUGAUGGCCAGGCUGUCUCCACCCGAGACUCAGUGAAAUUGAACUCGCUGUGAAGAUGCAGUGUACCCGCGGCAAGACGGAAAGACCCCGUGAACCUUUACUAUAGCUUGACACUGAACAUUGAGCCUUGAUGUGUAGGAUAGGUGGGAGGCUUUGAAGUGUGGACGCCAGUCUGCAUGGAGCCGACCUUGAAAUACCACCCUUUAAUGUUUGAUGUUCUAACGUGGACCCGUUACCCGGGUUGCGGACAGUGUCUGGUGGGUAGUUUGACUGGGGCGGUCUCCUCCUAAAGAGUAACGGAGGAGCACGAAGGUUGGCUAAUCCUGGUCGGACAUCAGGAGGUUAGUGCAAUGGCAUAAGCCAGCUUGACUGCGAGCGUGACGGCGCGAGCAGGUGCGAAAGCAGGUCAUAGUGAUCCGGUGGUUCUGAAUGGAAGGGCCAUCGCUCAACGGAUAAAAGGUACUCCGGGGAUAACAGGCUGAUACCGCCCAAGAGUUCAUAUCGACGGCGGUGUUUGGCACCUCGAUGUCGGCUCAUCACAUCCUGGGGCUGAAGUAGGUCCCAAGGGUAUGGCUGUUCGCCAUUUAAAGUGGUACGCGAGCUGGGUUUAGAACGUCGUGAGACAGUUCGGUCCCUAUCUGCCGUGGGCGCUGGAGAACUGAGGGGGGCUGCUCCUAGUACGAGAGGACCGGAGUGGACGCAUCACUGGUGUUCGGGUUGUCAUGCCAAUGGCACUGCCCGGUAGCUAAAUGCGGAAGAGAUAAGUGCUGAAAGCAUCUAAGCACGAAACUUGCCCCGA
This 1293-nucleotide ribosomal RNA is filed under the name Salmonella enterica. RNAcentral describes it as "partial 23S ribosomal RNA". It matches the Rfam family "Bacterial large subunit ribosomal RNA", at positions 1530 to 2802 of the family's 2925-position model. The record is from RNAcentral. Lineage: Bacteria; Pseudomonadati; Pseudomonadota; Gammaproteobacteria; Enterobacterales; Enterobacteriaceae. RNAcentral also lists the same sequence under 1 other name.